GAUCAUGGCUCAGGAUGAACGCUGGCGGCGUGCUUAACACAUGCAAGUCGAACGAAGCACUUUAAUUGAUUUCUUCGGAAUGAAGAUUUUGUGACUGAGUGGCGGACGGGUGAGUAACGCGUGGGUAACCUGCCUCAUACAGGGGGAUAACAGUUGGAAACGACUGCUAAUACCGCAUAAGCGCACAGGAUUGCAUGAUCCGGUGUGAAAAACUCCGGUGGUAUGGGAUGGACCCGCG
This 238-nucleotide ribosomal RNA is filed under the name uncultured bacterium. RNAcentral's name for it is "partial 16S ribosomal RNA". It matches the Rfam family "Bacterial small subunit ribosomal RNA", at positions 15 to 235 of the family's 1533-position model. The record is from RNAcentral.